UUACCCACUCCCGGCACGGGGAGGUAGUGACGAAAAAUAACGAUACGGGACUCAUCCGAGGCCCCGUAAUCGGAAUGAGUAUACUCUAAAUCCUUAUACGAGUAUCAAUUGGAGGGCAAGUCUGGUGCCAGCAGCCGCGGUAAUUCCAGCUCCAAUAGCGUAUAUUAAAGUUGUUGCGGUUAAAAAGCUCGUAGUUGGAUCUGUGUCCCGCACCGUCGGUUCACCGCCUGUCGGUGUUCAACUGGUGUGUAUGCGGGACGUCCUGCCGGUGGCGGUCCGGUUCCCCGUAGGUACGUAGGGGCGUCCUUGCUUACGCUUGCGUCGUCCCCGAAGGCCUGCGCGGUGUAUCCGGCCGCCUUUUCAAUCCCGUCGCGGUGCACUUCACUGAGUGUCGUGGCGGGUUUACUUUGAACAAAUUAGAGUGCUUUAAGCAGGCCCUGUCCCCCUGUAUGUUGUGUGCAUGGAAUAAUGGAAUAGGACCUCGGUUCUAUUUUGUUGGUUUUCGGAAUCUGAGGUAAUGAUCAAUGGGGACAGGCGGGGGCAUUCGUAUUGCGACGUUAGAGGUGAAAUUCUUGGAUCGUCGCAAGACGGACCGAAGCGAAAGCAUUUGCCAAGUAUGUUCUCGUCGAUCAAGAACGAAAGUUAGAGGUUCGAAGGCGAUCAGAUACCGCCCUAGUUCUAACCAUAAACUAUGCCUGCCAGCGAUCCGCCGAAGUUCCUCCGAUGACUCGGCGGGCAGCUUCCGGGAAACCAGAGCUUUUGGGUUCCGGGGGAAGUAUGGUUGCAAAGCUGAAACUUAAAGGAAUUGACGGAAGGGCACCACCAGGAGUGGAGCCUGCGGCUUAAUUUGACUCAACACGGGAAAACUCACCAGGCCCGGACACCGGAAGGAUUGACAGAUUGAGAGCUCUUUCUUGAUUCGGUGGGUGGUGGUGCAUGGCCGUUCUUAGUUGGUGGAGCGAUUUGUCUGGUUAAUUCCGAUAACGAACGAGACUCUAGCCUACUAACUAGGCGUACCCGGUAUCCACAAUCGUGCUACCGGCGGUCAAAUUUCUUCUUAGAGGGACAGGCGGCUUCUAGCCGCAAGAGACUGAGCAAUAACAGGUCUGUGAUGCCCUUAGAUGUCCUGGGCCGCACGCGCGCUACACUGAAGGAAUCAGCGUGUCUUCCCUGUCCGAAAGGACCGGGUAACCCGCUGAACCUCCUUUGUGCUAGGGAUUGGGGCUUGCAAUUGUUCCCCAUGAACGAGGAAUUCCCAGUAAGCGCGAGUCAUAAGCUCGCGUUGAUUACGUCCCUGCCCUUUGUACACACCGCCC
RNAcentral lists this ribosomal RNA (1316 nucleotides) under Scamandra multimaculata. RNAcentral describes it as "SSU rRNA". It matches the Rfam family "Eukaryotic small subunit ribosomal RNA", at positions 441 to 1674 of the family's 1831-position model. Lineage: Eukaryota; Metazoa; Arthropoda; Insecta; Hemiptera; Fulgoridae. The record is from RNAcentral.